This is an RNA transcript of Manihot esculenta (cassava), 1496 nucleotides long. It is a transcript of the gene named probable fructokinase-7, with no coding region annotated. NCBI's taxonomy places the organism in Eukaryota, Viridiplantae, Streptophyta, Magnoliopsida, Malpighiales, Euphorbiaceae. The transcript is spliced from 7 exons. The record is from RefSeq and is a predicted model, not a curated record.
AGGGGCAAAUAUAAAAGUUGAACAAACCUUGUGCCCCUGAGAUUCUCUGGUAAGCUUUGAACAAUCCUUGAACAUUCUUCUUGUGUACAACCACCACCUCCUUACUUCUACCUCUGCAUCUUCUUUUUCUCCCACCGACACCUAAACUUUCUCAUUUCUCUUUCUUCCUCCCUCUCUCAUCUCUGAUUCGUGCUGCAACACUCGUUUUUCUCUUCAAUCUCUCGGUUUCAGCUUUUGAAUGGCUGCCAAUCACACUACAGAUGGUUCUAAAGAUUGGGCCUUGAAUACGAAUGGAGGAUCUAAAGAUAACAUCUCGCUGGUUGUUUGUUUUGGGGAAAUGUUGAUAGAUUUUGUGCCAACAGUCGCAGGAGUUUCCCUGGCUGAAGCACCUGCUUUCAAGAAGGCUCCUGGGGGUGCACCUGCUAAUGUGGCUGUUUGCAUAUCAAGACUAGGUGGUUCAUCAGCUUUUAUUGGCAAGCUAGGUGAUGAUGAUUUUGGCUAUAUGUUGGCUGACAUUUUAAAACAAAACAACGUCAAUCAUUCUGGCAUACGAUUUGAUCCCAGCGCAAGGACUGCACUGGCAUUUGUUACUCUCAGAGCUGAUGGUGAACGUGAAUUCUUAUUUUUCCGUCAUCCCAGUGCAGACAUGCUUCUUCGUGAGUCAGAACUAGAUAUGAAUCUCCUCAAGCAGGCAAGGAUAUUUCAUUAUGGUUCUAUUAGUUUGAUUGCAGAACCAUGCAGGUCAGCUCAUCUUGCUGCUAUGAGGAUUGCCAAAAGUUCCGGUAGCAUCCUUUCUUAUGAUCCAAAUUUGAGAUUGGCAUUAUGGCCAUCGCCAGAGAAUGCUCGAGAAGGCAUAAUGAGUAUAUGGGAACAAGCUGAUGUCAUUAAGAUAAGUGAGGAGGAAAUCACAUUUUUAACUGGAGGCGAUGAUCCUAAUGAUGAUAAUGUGGUCUUAAAGAAGCUUUUUCAUCCCAAUCUAAAGCUUUUAAUUGUGACUGAAGGCUCUGAAGGCUGUAGAUACUACACCAAGGAUAUUUACACCAACCACACUCAAUGCAGGAAUUCAAAGGCAGGGUUGGUGGUGUGAAAGUGAAACCAGUUGACACAACCGGUGCAGGUGAUGCCUUUGUUGGAGGGAUUCUUAGCAGCCUAGCAUCUGAUCUAAGUCUAUUGAAGGAUGAGGAGCGGUUAAGAGAUGCUCUUCUUUUUGCAAAUGCCUGUGGUGCUGUUACGGUAACGGAGAGGGGUGCAAUUCCUGCACUGCCCACUAAAGAAGCUGUCCUCAAACUCUUGGGGAAAGCCCCUGCGUGAUGAAAUUGUGACGGAAAUCAUGAAUAUAUCUUCUUUAUUAUUGCAAGUUCAAUCCUUCUUAGUUCACAACCUUUUUUGCUCCUUUUUUUGCUUCAUUCCUUUCGCCUAUGAACAAAAAGGAUGGAAUUUACCCCGUUCUCUCAGUGGGCUUAAUUUGAUUUCAAUGUUGUAGAUUAAUUGACUAA